UACGUAGGGGGCGAGCGUUGUCCGGAAUCAUUGGGCGUAAAGCGCGUGUAGGCGGCCCGGUAAGUCCGCUGUGAAAGUCCAGGGCUCAACCCUGGGAUGCCGGUGGAUACUGUCGGGCUCGAGUCCGGAAGAGGCGAGUGGAAUUCCUGGUGUAGCGGUGAAAUGCGCAGAUAUCAGGAGGAACACCAAUGGCGAAGGCAGCUCGCUGGGACGGUAGCUGACGCUGAGACGCGAAAGCGUGGGGAGCGAACAGG
Molecule: ribosomal RNA, 254 nt
Filed under: uncultured bacterium
Lineage: Bacteria
Description: partial 16S ribosomal RNA
Rfam family: Bacterial small subunit ribosomal RNA
Source: RNAcentral